UACAGAGGGCGCGAGCGUUGUCCGGAAUCACUGGGCGUAAAGGGCGCGUAGGUGGCGACAUAAGGCUGUGGUGAAAGUCGGGGGCUCAACCCUUGAUCGGCCGUGGCAACUGUGUCGCUUGGGCACCGUAGAGGCAGAUGGAAUUCCGGGUGUAGCGGUGGAAUGCGUAGAGAUCCGGAAGAACACCAGUGGCGAAGGCGGUCUGCUGGGCGGUGGACUCGAAAGGGUCCAAUAGCCGACACUGAGGCGCGACAGCGUG
This 259-nucleotide unclassified non-coding RNA is filed under the name uncultured Gemmatimonadaceae bacterium. RNAcentral describes it as "contains 16S-23S intergenic spacer region". It matches the Rfam family "Bacterial small subunit ribosomal RNA", at positions 524 to 763 of the family's 1533-position model. Lineage: Bacteria; Pseudomonadati; Gemmatimonadota; Gemmatimonadia; Gemmatimonadales; Gemmatimonadaceae. The record is from RNAcentral.